AACGAACGCUGGCGGCGGGCCUAACACAUGCAAGUCGAACGCCCCGCAAGGGGAGUGGCAGACGGGUGAGUAACGCGUGGGAACCUACCUUUCGGUGCGGAAUAACUUCGGGAAACCAAAGCUAAUACCGCAUACGCCCUACGGGGGAAAGAUUUAUCGCCGAUAGAUGAGGCCGCGUCGGAUUAGCUAGUUGGUGAGGUAAUGGCUCACCAAGGCUACGAGGCGUAGCUGGUCUGAGAGGAUGAUCAGCCACACUGGAACUGAGACACGGCCCAUACUCCUACGAGAGGCAGCAGUGGGGAAUAUUGGACAAGGGGCGCAAGCCUAAUCGGGCCAUGCCGCUUGAGUGAAGAAGGCCUUAGGGUUGUAAAGCUCUUUUAGUGGGGACGAUAAUGACGGUACCCACGGAAUAAGCCCCGGCUAACUUCGUGCCAGCAGCCGCCGUAA
Molecule: ribosomal RNA, 447 nt
Filed under: uncultured bacterium
Lineage: Bacteria
Description: partial 16S ribosomal RNA
Rfam family: Bacterial small subunit ribosomal RNA
Source: RNAcentral